AUUGAACGCUGGCGGCAGGCCUAACACAUGCAAGUCGAGCGGAUGAAGGGAGCUUGCUCCUGGAUUCAGCGGCGGACGGGUGAGUAAUGCCUAGGAAUCUGCCUGGUAGUGGGGGAUAACGUCCGGAAACGGGCGCUAAUACCGCAUACGUCCCGAGGGAGAAAGUGGGGGAUCUUCGGACCUCACGCUAUCAGAUGAGCCUAGGUCGGAUUAGCUAGUUGGUGGGGUAAAGGCCUACCAAGGCGACGAUCCGUAACUGGUCUGAGAGGAUGAUCAGUCACACUGGAACUGAGACACGGUCCAGACUGCUACGGGAGGCAGCAGUGGGGAAUAUUGGACAAUGGGCGAAAGCCUGAUCCAGCCAUGCCGCGUGUGUGAAGAAGGUCUUCGGAUUGUAAAGCACUUUAAGUUGGGAGGAAGGGCAGUAAGUUAAUACCUUGCUGUUUUGACGUUACCAACAGAAUAAGCACCGGCUAACUUCGUG
This 484-nucleotide ribosomal RNA is filed under the name uncultured bacterium. Its description in RNAcentral is "partial 16S ribosomal RNA". It matches the Rfam family "Bacterial small subunit ribosomal RNA", at positions 30 to 507 of the family's 1533-position model. The record is from RNAcentral.